GUGACAUUCUUGUCCGGUGUAUAUGUAUUGGUUACCUGAACCUUGUGCUGUUGUCAACUGGUGGUGUCGGCUCAUCACACUAAGUAUCUUUCUUUUGUGAACUUUAACCGUUGUCUACCUUAGAGAAUUUCAUUGUUGCAACUUGAAACAGAGAUGGAAGUCAGCCAGGCCCAGGUUUGGAUAGAGGACACCCCUCUGAGCCCCUUCAGGUCCCAGGAGUGUGGUGGACACUGCUGAGGCAGAACACACAUUGCCAUGGCAGCCCCAGUGAUAGGGAAGUUGACUGGAAAGACAAGUGUUUUGCAAGCCUGGACAUAACAAAUAUCAACACCAAAUUCCUUGGAAACUCAGUUUCUAGUGUAUAUGGAGUGCAAAAACAAUAAAAAGAUUUCAGAUAUAAGGAACACAAUUUAAGCACAACUGGAGGAGAACUAUCAUCAAGUGAUCAGCUAAAUGUGUGAACACAAAUUUGACUACUUUUUUCCCUAUAAAUGUGUGAAUAACUGUACAUUUAUCCUUUCAUUCAGAUGAAUUUGCCUGAGUUGCUC
Long non-coding RNA from Mauremys reevesii (Reeves's turtle), 548 nucleotides. RefSeq lists it as uncharacterized. The transcript has 4 exons. The record is from RefSeq and is a predicted model, not a curated record. Lineage: Eukaryota; Metazoa; Chordata; Testudines; Geoemydidae.